This 3008-nucleotide ribosomal RNA is filed under the name Salmonella enterica subsp. enterica serovar Senftenberg. RNAcentral's name for it is "bacterial LSU rRNA". It matches the Rfam family "Bacterial large subunit ribosomal RNA". RNAcentral also lists the same sequence under 1 other name. Lineage: Bacteria; Pseudomonadati; Pseudomonadota; Gammaproteobacteria; Enterobacterales; Enterobacteriaceae. The record is from RNAcentral.
GGGUUGUGAGGUUAAGCGACUAAGCGUACACGGUGGAUGCCCUGGCAGUCAGAGGCGAUGAAGGACGUGCUAAUCUGCGAUAAGCGCCGGUAAGGUGAUAUGAACCGUUAUAACCGGCGAUUUCCGAAUGGGGAAACCCAGUGUGACUCGUCACACUAUCAUUAACUGAAUCCAUAGGUUAAUGAGGCGAACCGGGGGAACUGAAACAUCUAAGUACCCCGAGGAAAAGAAAUCAACCGAGAUUCCCCCAGUAGCGGCGAGCGAACGGGGAGGAGCCCAGAGCCUGAAUCAGCAUGUGUGUUAGUGGAAGCGUCUGGAAAGGCGCGCGAUACAGGGUGACAGCCCCGUACACAAAAGCGCAUGUGCUGUGAGCUCGAUGAGUAGGGCGGGACACGUGGUAUCCUGUCUGAAUAUGGGGGGACCAUCCUCCAAGGCUAAAUACUCCUGACUGACCGAUAGUGAACCAGUACCGUGAGGGAAAGGCGAAAAGAACCCCGGCGAGGGGAGUGAAAAAGAACCUGAAACCGUGUACGUACAAGCAGUGGGAGCACAGGUUUACCUGUGUGACUGCGUACCUUUUGUAUAAUGGGUCAGCGACUUAUAUUCUGUAGCAAGGUUAACCGAAUAGGGGAGCCGGAGGGAAACCGAGUCUUAAUUGGGCGUUAAGUUGCAGGGUAUAGACCCGAAACCCGGUGAUCUAGCCAUGGGCAGGUUGAAGGUUGGGUAACACUAACUGGAGGACCGAACCGACUAAUGUUGAAAAAUUAGCGGAUGACCUGUGGCUGGGGGUGAAAGGCCAAUCAAACCGGGAGAUAGCUGGUUCUCCCCGAAAGCUAUUUAGGUAGCGCCUCGUGAACUCAUCUCCGGGGGUAGAGCACUGUUUCGGCUAGGGGGCCAUCCCGGCUUACCAACCCGAUGCAAACUGCGAAUACCGGAGAAUGUUAUCACGGGAGACACACGGCGGGUGCUAACGUCCGUCGUGAAGAGGGAAACAACCCAGACCGCCAGCUAAGGUCCCAAAGUCAUGGUUAAGUGGGAAACGAUGUGGGAAGGCCCAGACAGCCAGGAUGUUGGCUUAGAAGCAGCCAUCAUUUAAAGAAAGCGUAAUAGCUCACUGGUCGAGUCGGCCUGCGCGGAAGAUGUAACGGGGCUAAACCAUGCACCGAAGCUGCGGCAGCGAACGUAUCACUUAAAGCGAUUCAGCGGGUUACGAUUGACGGAGCGAAGCGACGUCAAAGCGUAUACAAAGUCGAGUCGGUUUAAGGAUACGUUCGUUGGGUAGGGGAGCGUUCUGUAAGCCUGCGAAGGUGGCCUGUGAGGGUUGCUGGAGGUAUCAGAAGUGCGAAUGCUGACAUAAGUAACGAUAAAGCGGGUGAAAAGCCCGCUCGCCGGAAGACCAAGGGUUCCUGUCCAACGUUAAUCGGGGCAGGGUGAGUCGACCCCUAAGGCGAGGCCGAAAGGCGUAGUCGAUGGGAAACGGGUUAAUAUUCCCGUACUUGGUGUUACUGCGAAGGGGGGACGGAGAAGGCUAUGUUGGCCGGGCGACGGUUGUCCCGGUUUAAGCGUGUAGGCUGGUUUUCCAGGCAAAUCCGGAAAAUCAAGGCUGAGGCGUGACGACGAGGCACUACGGUGCUGAAGCAACAAAUGCCCUGCUUCCAGGAAAAGCCUCUAAGCAUCAGGUAACACGAAAUCGUACCCCAAACCGACACAGGUGGUCAGGUAGAGAAUACCAAGGCGCUUGAGAGAACUCGGGUGAAGGAACUAGGCAAAAUGGUGCCGUAACUUCGGGAGAAGGCACGCUGACACGUAGGUGAAGUGAUUUACUCAUGGAGCUGAAGUCAGUCGAAGAUACCAGCUGGCUGCAACUGUUUAUUAAAAACACAGCACUGUGCAAACACGAAAGUGGACGUAUACGGUGUGACGCCUGCCCGGUGCCGGAAGGUUAAUUGAUGGGGUCAGCGCAAGCGAAGCUCCUGAUCGAAGCCCCGGUAAACGGCGGCCGUAACUAUAACGGUCCUAAGGUAGCGAAAUUCCUUGUCGGGUAAGUUCCGACCUGCACGAAUGGCGUAAUGAUGGCCAGGCUGUCUCCACCCGAGACUCAGUGAAAUUGAACUCGCUGUGAAGAUGCAGUGUACCCGCGGCAAGACGGAAAGACCCCGUGAACCUUUACUAUAGCUUGACACUGAACAUUGAGCCUUGAUGUGUAGGAUAGGUGGGAGGCUUUGAAGUGUGGACGCCAGUCUGCAUGGAGCCGACCUUGAAAUACCACCCUUUAAUGUUUGAUGUUCUAACGUGGACCCGUAAUCCGGGUUGCGGACAGUGUCUGGUGGGUAGUUUGACUGGGGCGGUCUCCUCCUAAAGAGUAACGGAGGAGCACGAAGGUUGGCUAAUCCUGGUCGGACAUCAGGAGGUUAGUGCAAUGGCAUAAGCCAGCUUGACUGCGAGCGUGACGGCGCGAGCAGGUGCGAAAGCAGGUCAUAGUGAUCCGGUGGUUCUGAAUGGAAGGGCCAUCGCUCAACGGAUAAAAGGUACUCCGGGGAUAACAGGCUGAUACCGCCCAAGAGUUCAUAUCGACGGCGGUGUUUGGCACCUCGAUGUCGGCUCAUCACAUCCUGGGGCUGAAGUAGGUCCCAAGGGUAUGGCUGUUCGCCAUUUAAAGUGGUACGCGAGCUGGGUUUAGAACGUCGUGAGACAGUUCGGUCCCUAUCUGCCGUGGGCGCUGGAGAACUGAGGGGGGCUGCUCCUAGUACGAGAGGACCGGAGUGGACGCAUCACUGGUGUUCGGGUUGUCAUGCCAAUGGCACUGCCCGGUAGCUAAAUGCGGAAGAGAUAAGUGCUGAAAGCAUCUAAGCACGAAACUUGCCCCGAGAUGAGUUCUCCCUGAGACUUUAGGUCUCCUGAAGGAACGUUGAAGACGACGACGUUGAUAGGCCGGGUGUGUAAGCGCAGCGAUGCGUUGAGCUAACCGGUACUAAUGAACCGUGAGGCUUAACCUUACAACGCCGAAG